Molecule: long non-coding RNA, 552 nt
Organism: Zalophus californianus (California sea lion)
Lineage: Eukaryota; Metazoa; Chordata; Mammalia; Carnivora; Otariidae
Exons: 5
Source: RefSeq, a predicted model, not a curated record
ACUUGCUUGAGGUGACGCAGUUAAGAAGCAGGAGCCUUGGUGACGUCACCUAUCAGCCUUUUUCCAACUUCCUAGACUGGUGUUGCUGCUAAUUUAUAGAGUACUGACAGACUUUUACAAUUAAACACAUGGCCCUCUGAGCAAACGGAGUAUUGCCUAAGAAGAGUUUGGCCAGUGUAAGACAGGCAUGUUACCGAAAGGCUGAAUCCUCUUUCCUCUUCUAAUUUCUCAAGUUAUAUUAGUCACAGAUGAUUUGGUACUGUUAUUAGGAGCUGAGGAUACCGCAUGAACAAAACUGAAGCCUCUGCUUUUCUGUAGGAAGACAGACCUGAAAUACAGAGGAGAUGCUGGGUACAGUGAAGAACUAUAAACCAGGAAGGACCACACUGCUGUAUGGAGAAUAGACUGCAUGGAGGGUACUAAAAACAUCGUAGUUGCAAUUGCAGAGUCUGUGCUUGAUAAUGAGUCAGGAAGAAGAUGAAGAUCACCAGGAGACUGGAAAACAAAAACUGAUGUCCAAGUGUUCAGCAAGAAAAAAAAAUGUGACUCUAG